Molecule: ribosomal RNA, 582 nt
Filed under: uncultured bacterium
Lineage: Bacteria
Description: bacterial SSU rRNA
Rfam family: Bacterial small subunit ribosomal RNA
Source: RNAcentral
ACUCCUCGGGGGGGCAGCAGUGGGGAUUUUUGGACAAUGGGCGCAAGCCUGAUCCAGCAAUACCGCGUGUGUGAAGAAGGCCUGAGGGUUGUAAAGCACUUUUAAUCGGGAGGAAAACCUGUCGGCCAAUACCCGGCAGUUUGACAUUACCGAUAGAAAAAGCACCGGCUAACUCCGUGCCAGCAGCCGCGGUAAUACGGAGGGGGCAAGCGUUAUUCGGAAUUACUGGGCGUAAAGCGUGCGUAGGCGGCUGUUUAAGUCAGAUGUGAAAGCCCCGGGCUCAACCUGGGAACUGCAUUUGAUACUGGGCAGCUAGAGUUCAGUAGAGGGGAGGGGAAUUUCAGGUGUAGCGGUGAAAUGCGUAGAUAUCUGAAGGAACACCAGUGGCGAAGGCGCCUCUCUGGACUCAAACUGACGCUGAGGCACGAAAGCGUGGGUAGCAAACAGGAUUAGAUACCCUGGUAGUCCACGCCGUAAACGAUGUCUACUAGCCUUUGUGGUAUUCAUACGAUUAGUGGCGCAGCUAACGCGAUAAGUGACCGCUGGGAGAAGCCGGGCGCAAGGUUAAACUUCUAGGGUUUU